CCUACGGGGCGCAGCAGGGGGGAAUAUUGCACAAUGGGGGAAACCCUGAUGCAGCGACGCCGCGUGAGUGAAGAAGGAGUGCGGGAUGUAAAGCUCUAGCAGCAGGGAAGAAAAUGACGGUACCUGAGUAAGAAGCCCCGGCUAACUACGUGCCAGCCGCCGCGGUAAUACGUAGGGGGCAAGCGUUAUCCGGAUUUACUGGGUGUAAAGGGAGCGUAGACGGCAGCGCAAGUCUGAAGUGAAAUCCCAUGGCUUAACCAUGGAACUGCUUUGGAAACUGUGCAGCUGGAGUGCAGGAGAGGUAAGCGGAAUUCCUAGUGUAGCGGUGAAAUGCGUAGAUAGUAGGAGGAACACCAGUGGCGAAGGCGGCUUACUGGACUGUAACUGACGUUGAGGCUCGAAAGCGUGGGGAGCAAACAGGAUUAGAUACCCUUGUAGUC
This 440-nucleotide ribosomal RNA is filed under the name uncultured bacterium. RNAcentral's name for it is "partial 16S ribosomal RNA". It matches the Rfam family "Bacterial small subunit ribosomal RNA", at positions 338 to 795 of the family's 1533-position model. The record is from RNAcentral.